AUUUACGGUGGCAAGUGUCGCUUGACAAAUUGAUUUUGAUUUGUUUGGUCGUUUUUUCACCUUUUUGUUUUGUUUCUGUUUUUUAGUUUUGCAUUGAAAGCAGGCCGGCAAUGUGAAGUUUUUUAGGGGCUUGGCAACCUUGAAUGCACAUUUUGCCCAGGGAAAUGACUAAAAGUUGAAAACCCAUUAAACUGCUUCAGUUCCCAGCUGAACAGGAAAAGGAGUCAACAGCAAUAUCCAUCCAAUUACCGCUUCCUUUGGUGAACAUUCAAAUUGGAAAUCAAACAGCAACAGUUGAAUGCACUUUGGCGGGGGUGGCUGGGCUGUGGGUUUUAUUUUUGUUGCGUCGGAGGGGAGGAAGGGCGGCCGGGGCAGGGUGCGGGGCUAACUGUUCAUUACACGCUCGUUGGCAUCCUGUUUCAUGCAACAGCAAGCAACAGGAUGCCGCACAAACAAUCUAAAUUCCGAGGGUAGUUGCUCAGACAUGCACUUUCAAAAAUGAUGAUAAAUUGGAUCCUUACAAGGAAUACCUUAAUGUUAUUAGUACAGGACAUGUAACCUAUUGAUUCAAAAUUAUAAAAAAGACUUUUACUCCCGUACUACCCAUAGGACCCAACAUAAGGACUCUUCCUCCAAAACAUUUCCUUCGAAAGAAACACAUAUUUCUCCAUGUGCAGCCAGCCCUGAUUGCCCCUUGAAAAGCCAAGCAAAGUCAGUUCCAAGUGAAUGCCAAACAAAGCCCGUCCAUCCAACACCACCGAUCCAUCCAUCCAUCCACUCCGGCGAUCGUACAAAGGGACUCAGAAUACAAAGAACUAACGCGCUCUGGAAAAAAAAUGAUCAGGAGCCGGAGAAGGAGAAGGAGAAGGAGCAAGAGGGUCACGAACAGAAGACUCCGAACAAAGGAGGAUCGUUCUUUUUUGUCUUUUUCCUGAGCUCAGUCGUGCGUCAAAAAAAUCCUUAAGCCAAUGGAAACGAAUAAGAAAUUCAACGGCCGAGCACCUGAUGAUGAUUCUGACUCUGACUUUGACGACGACACCUGAACCCUCCUGAGCCCGGUGAAUAAAUAUUAAGGAAUGAUAAUUAGGAGGUCUAGCAACCCUCCGCCAGACGAACGUUACAAUCGCGCACAGUGUGAAGUGAUCGUUUGGCUAUCUAAAUGUUGUCAUCCAAGGGUGGCUUCCUUACUGGACGCACUCCACCUCCCUCAACCUGUCGCUGAAGACGAACCUGCUAGGAUAUUCAUGAGUCUACCCCCGGACUCGCUUGAGGAGAUCGCAACCGUUGCAGCAAGUUGCCGAAGAUGCGCCGCGCCCUAAUUAGUGGCAGUCAUCUUCUCGUACACCAGCCGCGACUGCAGCCUUAAAGAAAGCAAUUCUCGAAAGGGGAAAGGAAGCAAGCACUUGACUUCAAGGACCACAUUAUAAUGGAAAACGAGUCGUUGGAGGGGCUGAAAGGGGAGUCCCUCAGCCGGAUGGUGGAAUCAAAUGAGAUCAGAAGAGAAAGCAACGGAAAGGAAGUUCUGGAGGGGACUUUACACUGAGGAAAGAGUGUUUCUAAAGCAGGAGU
Molecule: long non-coding RNA, 1569 nt
Organism: Drosophila ananassae
Lineage: Eukaryota; Metazoa; Arthropoda; Insecta; Diptera; Drosophilidae
Exons: 3
Source: RefSeq, a predicted model, not a curated record